RNAcentral lists this non-coding RNA (132 nucleotides) under unclassified sequences. The record is from RNAcentral.
GUCUUCAGAAGAUGACAACCCGUGGGGCGUAAGUAAUAAAGAGUCUGAAAGAUGCCAGAUAAGAGUAGCCACUUAUUGGCAAUAUCCAUACCAGAAUAAUUUAUUAUGAUCGUGCGGACGUUAAAAUCAGGU